UGGGGAAUUUUGGACAAUGGGGCAACCCUGAUCCAGCAAUGCCGCGUGUGUGAAGAAGGCCUUCGGGUUGUGAAGCACUUUUGUCCGGAAAGAAAACGUCGUGGUUAAUACCCGUGGCGGCUGACGGUACCGGAAGAAUAAGCACCGGCUAACUACGUGCCAGCAGCCGCGGUAAUACGUAGGGUGCAAGCGUUAAUCGGAAUUACUGGGCGUAAAGCGUGCGCAGGCGGUCCGCUAAGACAGAUGUGAAAUCCCCGGGCUUAACCUGGGAACUGCAUUUGUGACUGGCGGGCUAGAGUAUGGCAGAGGGGGGUAGAAUUCCACGUGUAGCAGUGAAAUGCGUAGAGAUGUGGAGGAAUACCGAUGGCGAAGGCAGCCCCCUGGGCCAAUACUGACGCUCAUGCACGAAAGCGU
This 414-nucleotide ribosomal RNA is filed under the name uncultured bacterium. RNAcentral describes it as "partial 16S ribosomal RNA". It matches the Rfam family "Bacterial small subunit ribosomal RNA", at positions 355 to 762 of the family's 1533-position model. The record is from RNAcentral.